Molecule: small nuclear RNA, 276 nt
Filed under: Erinaceus europaeus (western European hedgehog)
Lineage: Eukaryota; Metazoa; Chordata; Mammalia; Eulipotyphla; Erinaceidae
Description: 7SK RNA
Rfam family: 7SK RNA
About the family: 7SK was discovered as an abundant small nuclear RNA in the mid-70s but a possible function has only recently been suggested. Two independent studies have found that 7SK RNA binds the CDK9/cyclin T complex (known as elongation factor P-TEFb). P-TEFb activates transcription by phosphorylating the C-terminal domain of RNA polymerase II.
Source: Rfam by way of RNAcentral
AGAUGUGAGGGCGAUCUGGCUGCGACAUCUGUCACCCCAUUGACCACCAGGGUUGAUUCUCUGAUCUCGCUGGCUAGGCGGUGUCCCCUUCCUCCCACACCUCUCCAUGUGCUUCCCUCCCAAAUCUGCUCCCUCUGUAGAAAAGGACUGCCUUCCCCAAAUAGAGAUGGACUGGUCUUGGGUCAAGGGGAUAAGAGUAGCUGCACUCCCCUGCUAGAACCUCCAAACAAGCUAUCAAGAGGCGUACAACUCCACACAUUUCCCACCGCCAGAUCU